Molecule: ribosomal RNA, 465 nt
Filed under: uncultured bacterium
Lineage: Bacteria
Description: SSU rRNA
Rfam family: Bacterial small subunit ribosomal RNA
Source: RNAcentral
AGGACUAACGCUGGCGGCGUGCCUAACACAUGCAAGUCGAGCGGGGUAGCAAUACCCAGCGGCAGACGGGUGAGUAACGCGUGGUCAACCUUCCGUUGAAUGGGGGAUAACUAGCCGAAAGGUUAGCUAAUACCGCAUACGAUCUUUUGAAGGCAUCUUUAAAAGAUGAAAGGAGCAAUUCGUUCAACGACGGGACCGCGUCCCAUUAGCUAGAUGGUGGGGUAAUGGCCUACCAUGGCAACGAUGGGUAGCUGGUUUGAGAGAGCGACCAGCCACACUGGGACUGAGAAACGGCCCAGACUCCUACGGGAGGCAGCAGUGAGGAAUUUUUCCGCAAUGGGCGAAAGCCUGACGGAGCGACGCCGCGUGUGGGAAGAAGGCCUUCGGGUCGUAAACCACUGUCGAAGGGGACGAUAAUGACGGUACCUUGGAGGAAGCCCCGGCUAACUACGCGCCAGCAGCCGC